RNAcentral lists this ribosomal RNA (520 nucleotides) under uncultured Gigasporaceae. RNAcentral describes it as "SSU rRNA". It matches the Rfam family "Eukaryotic small subunit ribosomal RNA", at positions 569 to 1092 of the family's 1831-position model. Lineage: Eukaryota; Fungi; Glomeromycota; Glomeromycetes; Diversisporales; Gigasporaceae. RNAcentral also lists the same sequence under 1 other name. The record is from RNAcentral.
AGCAGCCGCGGUAAUUCCAGCUCCAAUAGCGUAUAUUAAAGUUGUUGCAGUUAAAAAGCUCGUAGUUGAAUUUCGGGAUUCUACCGUCGGUCGGGCUACCAAGUCUGUACUGGUGUGUAGAAUUCCUACCUUCUGGGGAACCAUCAUGUUAUUAAUUUAGCGUGGUGGGAAACCAGGACCUUUACCUUGAAAAAAUUAGAGUGUUCAAAGCAGGCUUAUGUCUGAAUACAUUAGCAUGGAAUAAUAGAAUAGGACGGUGGUCCUGUUUUGUUGGUUUCUGAAUCACCGUAAUGAUUAAUAGGGAUAGUUGGGGGCAUUAGUAUUCAAUUGUCAGAGGUGAAAUUCUUGGAUUUAUUGAAGACUAACUUCUGCGAAAGCAUUUGCCAAGGAUGUUUUCAUUAAUCAAGAACGAAAGUUAGGGGAUCGAAGACGAUCAGAUACCGUCGUAGUCUUAACCAUAAACUAUGCCGACUAGGGAUCGGACGAUGUUAAAUUUUAUUGACUCGUUCGGCGCCUUACG